GAAUUCAUGUUAUCCAAAUUCUUGGUUAACCAUCCAUAAUUGAACAGUGGUUUCCUUUUUUUUUUUCUUCCACCGGAAUGGAUCUAAAGGUCUUUGUGGUUGGUAUUUGAAGUUGAGCUGGUCGAUAUUACUUUUAAUUCUGCAAAAUCUUUAAAAUUGUUGUUGUUGUAGUGUUCUCUUUAAAGGAAAACAUGCUAGCAUGAUUUGUCUUGAGUACAACUUCAUUCGAAAGAUCAAAACCCUUGGAUGGUCAUGUUUUGCUUAGGCUGAACCAUCAUUAAGAUCUUUUCAUUUAGUAUUGCUUGUGUUUUUUCUCUUGGUUCAAACAGAAGUGAGAAAAUGGAGGACUCCUUGAAACUCUUUUGGUGAACUAUCAAUGGUUCAAAAUGUUUGAUGCAUGUCGAAUUUGAAGCUCCUUAUGUUAGAAUUUUUGAAUGUUAUAGUUCAUUCUUGUCAGUUCAAGAAUUUUAAUUGGAUUACAGAAAUUAAUGGUCAUUUAUGAAUUAUCUAUAUAUAUUACUAAACUAUAAAGCUGGCUUGGCAGAGG
RNAcentral lists this long non-coding RNA (547 nucleotides) under Capsicum annuum. Its description in RNAcentral is "long non-coding RNA (CANN_LNC015201)". The record is from RNAcentral. Lineage: Eukaryota; Viridiplantae; Streptophyta; Magnoliopsida; Solanales; Solanaceae.